GGCCAGCUGGCCUAAUGGUAAGGCGCUAGAUUUCGGUGAUACCAUCUGCAUCUGCAGAUGGUUAUAAUCCCUCUAGAGAUUGCAGGUUCGAAUCCUGCGUUGGUCG
This 106-nucleotide transfer RNA is filed under the name Eutypa lata. Its description in RNAcentral is "tRNA-Arg". It matches the Rfam family "tRNA". Rfam says of the family: Transfer RNA (tRNA) molecules are approximately 80 nucleotides in length. Their secondary structure includes four short double-helical elements and three loops (D, anti-codon, and T loops). The record is from RNAcentral. Lineage: Eukaryota; Fungi; Ascomycota; Sordariomycetes; Xylariales; Diatrypaceae. RNAcentral also lists the same sequence under 1 other name.